RNAcentral lists this ribosomal RNA (253 nucleotides) under uncultured bacterium. RNAcentral's name for it is "partial 16S ribosomal RNA". It matches the Rfam family "Bacterial small subunit ribosomal RNA", at positions 524 to 776 of the family's 1533-position model. The record is from RNAcentral.
UACGGGGGGGGCAAGCGUUGUUCGGAAUUACUGGGCGUAAAGGGCUCGUAGGCGGCCAACUAAGUCAGACGUGAAAUCCCUCGGCUUAACCGGGGAACUGCCUCUGAUACUGGAUGGCUUGAGAUUGGGAGAGGGAUGCGGAAUUCCAGGUGUAGCGGUGAAAUGCGUAGAUAUCUGGAGGAACACCGGUGGCGAAGGCGGCAUCCUGGACCGACACUGACACUGAGGAGCGAAAGCCAGGGGAGCAAACGGG